ACCAUCUUCUACAGAUCAAAGUCACCCAUCGACAUGUUGACUCUUCUUCUAGUUUCGCUUGUCGCCUCUGUUUCGGCAUUAAACAAAGGAGGUCCAUUAUUAGGAGGACUUGUCAAUGGUGGAGUUAUCACAAGUGGUCCACUCCUUGGAGGUGUUGGAACUAUUGGUGGAUCUGGAGGAAUUGUCGGUGGUGGUGGACUUCUGUUAAAUGGUGGUGGUUUAGGAGGAUUGAUCGGAGGAUUAAAUACAGGUAUGUUCUAAAUGACCAGUUAUAUUAUCAAUAAGGAAAAGCCCGCAUCAAAAUAGUUCCGAACAAUAGCAUCAACAAAAUAUUUCAAUUUUGUAUUUAGGCCACACCAAUUUUAUUCCUUGUUCGAUGGACCCGACCACACCUAUUUUUUUCAAAACAGAAUUUUUUUAUUUUGUUUUAUAUUCCCGCUUCCCGCAUCCGGAAAUGUAAUCCCGAUUCCCGUAGCCGGAAAUGUAAUCAUGUCCAUUUCCCGCACCGUUUUUUUUUGUAAAUAUUAUCAAAAGAUAUCAACAUUUGUUUUUAAAAUCACAGUCUAACCUGUAACGAUUUUAAACAUAAAAGCACCCCACCAAAUUGUGUAAAUAUCUGUUAGAAUAUUUAUUUCAGCAUGAAACCUAUUUAUCCAAAGUGGGAAGUUUAUAAAUUUAUAACAGCGGAAAUACACUGCAAAGAACAAAAAUUGGUUUCUUUCCCCUUACUUAUAUUCCCUAUCAAAAAUUGAUCGUUGUUAAAAUAGAGUACAAAGAACUUCUGAAGGAUUCGCCUUCAACUGCAAUUAUAUUGUAUGCUGACGAAACAAAACUUUCUACAGCCGCUGCAUGUUUUAUAUGAACUUGUCCUGAUUGAUUCAGGGCCUGUCGUUCAGCAGUUAUCGUUUGUUGAUGUUGUUCAUUGGUAUUUUCCCGUUUGAAUAUAUAAAUUAGAUCGUUGGUUUUCCUGUUCGAAUUGUGUAUGCUAAUAAUUUUGGGGUCCUUUAUAGCUUGCUGUUUGGUCUGUAUCAAAGCUCUGUGUUGAAGGCCGUACUUUGAACUGUGUUAUUAUCAGGUUGAGAACAACCCUCCCUCAGACAAGGGGUCAUUUUACUGAUGUAAAAACGAAAAUAGAAAUACAAAGGAUUUGUAUAGUUCUUCUAUACUAAACCUUUGAAAACUUAGAAUUUUGCAGAGUUACAUCAUAUUUUAUAAAUUGUUUUCUAAAAGAGGGUCCACUUAUUUUGAAUAAUAUUACACUGGUAAAGUAAAUGUGUUAUUUAACAUGGCUAAAGUCCAGGAAUAUUACAAAAUUCUUGGACAUGUUUUGACCAUUUAAUACCAUGCAGAUAGAUACAUAGUUCUUUGAGAAAAUAUGAGUUCUUUUGUACAAACAAAUAUAUUAUAACUUAUAUUGAUUCCUCAUAAAACAUGUAAAAGGGAUAUUUAUAACAUUAAGGGGUUGCUCCCAAACUGAUUAUGACUCGGAUGUAGAAUUGUCUAAUUGUCAGUCACACAUACAUAGACCAGAUUUAAUUAUUUCUUGGUGAACAAGGAAAAAUACUUCAGAAAUUAAAGAAAUGUCAAAGUACAAGUGAUAAAUCAAGUUUUAAUAUUGUCAAAACCUACCUAUUUAUGUUUACAAAACAAAAGUAUAAUCGCUCGCCUUUACUUUUCAAGCUUCGCCUCAAAAAUAUUACAAUUAAAUAUUUUUUAUUAAAAUUUUCAAAUCGCUCGCUCGUCCCAAAUUUUGGAGUCCAAAAAUCCGUAGAACAAGAAAUUAAAUUGGUGUGGCCUUACAUAAGUUCUAAUUUCAUGCAAUUUUCUUCAAAAUAAUUUACAAAAUAUUUCAAUUAUUGAAACCGUUCGAUAAUAUUAAGUUGCUAAAUGUUGUGUCAUUUGAUCCUUAGCGAGUUAACUCAUUGCCAAUUACACCACAUAUUCUUUUUUUAUAUUCAUAUGUCUGCAUUGGUGAUUAUUCCAGCUCAUUUAUUAAAUAUGUUCUUCAUCCAAUAUCACAUCUUGAUGUUAAUACAUUUUGUUUAAAUUACAGGACUUGUCGGAGGAGGUCAACCAUGGUGCACAUGUAGUUUGAAAUGUGCACCAGGACAGAUUAAACUCAGCAAGAACUGCAACUUGGCACCUCUCCUGCCAGGUAGUUUGAAUACUUGUUGUUCUGUAUUGCCAUGGUGGGUAACCAACCAAAAUUACGGUGCUUCCAUUGGAGGAGCUGGUAUUAUUGGCGGCGGAGGUAUUAUUGGUAGUGUCGGUGGUCUUGUUGGAGGUGGUAGUGGACUUCUUGGUCCAAUCGGUGGUAUUGGUGGUGUUGUCACAGGACCAGUCAGUGUCAUUGGAGGUGGCAGCAAUGUUGUCAGCGGACGAAUUCGUAAAGGAGGAUAUUAUUAAGUAUAUAAAAUGUAAGUUGGUUUUUUUAUAUCUGUUUUCGAUGACAUUUCCUCUUUAACUGUUAAUAGAGUAAAUCAUCAACAAUCAGAUUCACUACGAUCAACGUAUUUGUCUAGUCAUGUUUCAGUUUUGAAAGUACGAAAAAUAGAGGAAUUAGAUUGUUGUUUAAAAUUCCGUACACUCUUUGUUUUCCCCUUUAAAACAAAAUAGUAGUAUUUGUGAACUUCCAAGUUUAGUAUAUGUCUUUUAUGAAACCAGAUGUAAAAUGGGAACAGUUAAACAUUUCUUUUAUACUGUAUACUGUUUUCCAGUACACAUUUUGUGGGAGAAAUCCUGAGCAAUCCAUAUUAUGUUUUAUCAAUAUAGAGAUAAUCAGGUGGUGUUUUUCCCUUAAAGUGGUAUCUACACUACAUGGAGAUAACUCCGUAAAAUCAGCUUAACGUUUAAAUAACGUUGUGUUGUUAAGGGACUAUUAAGCUUCUCAAUGAUCAGAAUAUGGGUUUGUCAAACUGCGAUAUAACCAGUGUGAUUUUUCUGAUAAAAUGGUUGGUUCAAAUUUUUUUAAUUUUUUAUUUGGUCAAAGGGUCAAAGUAAAUGCUUUGUCAAAAUGUUAUGAAAAUUAAACGAGCCAAAUUAAUUUUAGUUAAAGUGUUGGGUACCACCUUAAAUCGAUCAGGAAAUUAAUAUAUUGAAAUUAUGUGAUUUGUGUUGUGUUACAGGUGACAAAUUAGCAAAUGACCAGUACUGCAUUAUUGUUACGUUUACUUUUGUGAUGGAUAUAUACUAACACAUUUAAGAUAUAUGACCUACUUAAAUUAUCAUUGGUAGAAGCAUGGUAACAUUUUUUUCUAUCAUAUCCGCAUGAUCUGGACUAACAUAUUUACAUACGUUAAUUCUUAUUCAGCAGGAAUAAAAUCGUUUACAAAUAAUAAGAGUUUAAACUUAACAAAUCAGAUAAAAUGCUAAAGAAAAUAAAAACAAACACAUGUGUUGUGUCUCAAAUAAGAGUUGAUAUAACUGUGUAUCUGAAGCAUUAAAAAAAUGGUACCUUGAUUGUUUUACUCAUAUUUUAAUUGAUGUCUUUUUCUCUUUGUAGUUGACAGUGAUACGACACAGACAUGAA
RNAcentral lists this long non-coding RNA (3529 nucleotides) under Mytilus galloprovincialis (Mediterranean mussel). The record is from RNAcentral. Lineage: Eukaryota; Metazoa; Mollusca; Bivalvia; Mytilida; Mytilidae.